AAGGUAGCGAAAUUCCUUGUCGGGUAAGUUCCGACCUGCACGAAUGGCGUAACGAUCUCCACACUGUCUCGGCCAGAGACUCGGUGAAAUUGAAGUCGCGGUGAAAAUGCCGUGUACCCGCAGAAAGACGGAAAGACCCUGUGCACCUUUACUAUAGCUUGACAUUGGGAUUUGAGCCUGCAUGUGUAGCAUAGGUGGGAGGCUGUGAACUCUGUACGCCAGUAUGGAGGGAGCCAACGUUGAAAUACCACCCUUGUUUGUUCAGGUCCCUAACUCUUCGCCGUUACCCGGUAAGAGGACAGUGUCUGGUGGGUAGUUUGACUGGGGCGGUCGCCUCCCAAAAUGUAACGGAGGCAUGCAAAGGUUCCCUCAGGCUGAUUGGAAACCAGCCGUCGAGUGCAAACGCAAAAGGGAGCUUGACUGCAAGAGAGACAUCUCGAGCAGGUACGAAAGUAGGUGUUAGUGAUCCGGUGAUCCCGAAUGGAAGGGUCAUCGCUCAUUGGAUAAAAGGUACGCCGGGGAUAACAGGCUGAUCGCAUCCAAGAGUUCACAUCGACGAUGCGGUUUGGCACCUCGAUGUCGGCUCAUCACAUCCUGGGGCUGAAGCAGGUCCCAAGGGUACGGCUGUUCGCCGUUUAAAGUGGUACGCGAGCUGGGUUUAAAACGUCGUGAGACAGUUUGGUCCCUAUCUUCUGUGGGCGUAGGAGAAUUGAAAGGGCCUGUCCCUAGUACGAGAGGACCGGGAUGGACACACCACUGGUGGACCUGUUGUCGUGCCAACGGCACAGCAGGGUAGCUAUGUGUGGAAGGGAUAACCGCUGAAAGCAUCUAAGCGGGAAGCCUGCCUUAAGAUAAGUUCUCCCUGACGCAAGUCCUGAAGGGCCGAGGUAGACGACCUCGUUGAUAGGCUGGAGGUGGAAGCCCUGUGAGGGGUGGAGCUGACCAGUACUAAUAGCCCGUGCGUCUUGUUUUC
This 973-nucleotide ribosomal RNA is filed under the name human gut metagenome. Its description in RNAcentral is "bacterial LSU rRNA". It matches the Rfam family "Bacterial large subunit ribosomal RNA", at positions 1953 to 2925 of the family's 2925-position model. The record is from RNAcentral.